GCUGGGUGCAGUGGUGCAUGCCUGUAAUUCCAGGAGCUUGGGAGGCUGAGACAGGAGGAUUGUGAGUUCAAAGCCAGCCUCAGCAAAAGCAAGGCGCUAGGCAACUCAAUGAGACCCUGUCUCUA
RNAcentral lists this small RNA (125 nucleotides) under Marmota monax (woodchuck). The record is from RNAcentral. Lineage: Eukaryota; Metazoa; Chordata; Mammalia; Rodentia; Sciuridae.